GCAUGCAAGUCGAACGAGAACCAGGGCUGUAGCAAUACAGUUCUGGGGAAAGUGGCGAAAGGGGCAGUAAGGCGUGGGUAACCAACCCUGGGGACGGGGAUAGCCAUCCUAACGGAUGGGUAAUACCCGGCGACGUAGCGAGUUCGCAUGUGCUUGCUACCAAAUGAGUUUCGCCCUGGGACGGGCUCACGUGCUAUUAGCUUGUUGGCGGGGUAACGGCCCACCAAGGCUAAGAUGGCUAGCGGGUGUGAGAGCACGACCCGCGCCACUGGCACUGAGACACUGGCCAGACUCCUACGGGAGGCUGCAGUCGAGGAUCUUCGGCAAUGGGCGCAAGCCUGACCGAGCGACGCCGCGUGUGCGAUGAAGGCCUUCGGGUUGUAAAGCACUGUCGAGGGGGAGGAAGCUCCGAAAGGGGUUGACCUAUCCCUGGAGGAAGCACGGGCUAAGUUCGUGCCAGCAGCCGCGGUAAGACGAACCGUGCGAACGUUGUUCGGAAUCACUGGGCUUAAAGGGCGCGUAGGCGGAUAUCCAAGUCAGGGGUGAAAUCUUUCAGCUUAACUGGAAAACGGCCUUUGAUACUGGAUGUCUGGAGUGAGAUAGGGCAUGCGGAACUUCCGGUGGAGCGGUGAAAUGCGUAGAUAUCGGAAGAACACCGGUGGCGAAGGC
RNAcentral lists this ribosomal RNA (669 nucleotides) under uncultured Planctomycetota bacterium. RNAcentral describes it as "bacterial SSU rRNA". It matches the Rfam family "Bacterial small subunit ribosomal RNA", at positions 53 to 722 of the family's 1533-position model. Lineage: Bacteria; Pseudomonadati; Planctomycetota. The record is from RNAcentral.